Molecule: unclassified non-coding RNA, 319 nt
Filed under: Hevea brasiliensis (rubber tree)
Lineage: Eukaryota; Viridiplantae; Streptophyta; Magnoliopsida; Malpighiales; Euphorbiaceae
Source: RNAcentral
UUGAACUGUUCCUCCAUUUGCUGACAGACAAAAAGAGAUAAAUACGUAUCAGGUAUAAAUUAGUGAUAAAUAAGUUCAAUUUAUUCACAAAACUGGAAAAACUUUUCAGUAUAAAUCAGUGAGGUAAACCCAAAAACAUUCUCCCUUCUACCUCCCCCCGGCCCUCAACCGACCACACACUCAUACAUUUGCAUUAGUCCACAUCUAUUGCAUUGAAUAAACUAUAGUGCUACUUGAUGGAGAAUGCUUAAUCAUGGAUGUCUAAAUGCAUGCAUAACAAUGUGCCAAAAGUAAUAGAAUGAUACCACUCGUUCAGGAA